AGCGAACGCUGGCGGCAGGCUUAACACAUGCAAGUCGAGCGGGCAUCCUUGUGGUGUCAGCGGCAGACGGGUGAGUAACGCGUGGGAACGUGCCCUUCGGUUCGGAAUAACUCAGGGAAACUUGUGCUAAUACCGGAUACGCCCUUUUGGGGAAAGGUUUACUGCCGAAGGAUCGGCCCGCGUCUGCUUAGCUAGUUGGUGAGGUUAUGGCUCACCAAGGCGACGAUCAGUAGCUGGUCUGAGAGGAUGAUCAGCCACACUGGGACUGAGACACGGCCCAGACUCCUACGGGAGGCAGCAGUGGGGAAUAUUGGACAAGGGGGGCAACCCUGACCCAGCCAUGCCGCGUGAGUGAUGACGGCCUUAGGGUUGUAAAGCUCUUUUCUCCGGGACGAUAAUGACGGUACCGGAGGAAUAAGCCCCGGCUAACUUCGUG
RNAcentral lists this ribosomal RNA (436 nucleotides) under uncultured bacterium. RNAcentral's name for it is "partial 16S ribosomal RNA". It matches the Rfam family "Bacterial small subunit ribosomal RNA", at positions 29 to 507 of the family's 1533-position model. The record is from RNAcentral.